Molecule: ribosomal RNA, 116 nt
Filed under: uncultured bacterium
Lineage: Bacteria
Description: partial 16S ribosomal RNA
Rfam family: Bacterial small subunit ribosomal RNA
Source: RNAcentral
GCGUUGCGGGAUGUAGGCCUUCGGGUUGUAAACCGCUUUUGAUUGGGAGCAAGCCUUCGGGUGAGUGUACCUUUCGAAUAAGCGCCGGCUAACUACGUGCCAGCAGCCGCGGUAAU